AUUGAACGCUGGCGGCAUGCCUAACACAUGCAAGUCGUAACGGGUUUUAAGAAAAGCUUGUCUUUUUUUAAAGCUAGUGGCGGACGGGUGAGUAAUGCGUAGGGAUCUGCCCUUUUGUGGGGGACAACCUGGGGAAACCCAGGCUAAUACCGCAUAAUAUCUAAGGAUUAAAGGAUGGGCCUUUAUGGCCAUUCGCAAAAGGAGGAACCUACGUCGGAUUAGCUUGUUGGUAGGGUAAAGGCCUACCAAGGCUACGAUCCGUAGCUGGUCUGAGAGGACGAACAGCCACACUGGGACUGAGACACGGCCCAG
This 312-nucleotide ribosomal RNA is filed under the name uncultured bacterium. Its description in RNAcentral is "bacterial SSU rRNA". It matches the Rfam family "Bacterial small subunit ribosomal RNA", at positions 30 to 334 of the family's 1533-position model. The record is from RNAcentral.